Molecule: unclassified non-coding RNA, 249 nt
Filed under: Hevea brasiliensis (rubber tree)
Lineage: Eukaryota; Viridiplantae; Streptophyta; Magnoliopsida; Malpighiales; Euphorbiaceae
Source: RNAcentral
AUGGUUGUAUCAAGAAUGGAGAUACGGUUCAUGCCAUUGUUAUACGGGUUGCCAUGUCCUAAAAGAAUAUCCUAAGGGAUGUUAUUGCCUAUAAUGUCCUUAUCCAUGGAUUAUGUUUGACCCAAGACAUGAAACUUGCAUAUAUCUAUUCUUGUGAAAUGAUGAAAAGGGGCUUACUUCCUGAUGUCUUUACGUAUGAAAACUGUAUAAGGCUUUUUAUAUCCUUGAUGUAAUGUUGAGAAUGGGAGU